UGCGAUAUCUCAACCGUCAUCAAUCAGCAGAAAAAUUCACUUCACCUACCGCGGCCUUGCCCUUUUGCAGAAAGAGGAAACCACACAGAGGUUAAAGGCGCAUCAGCCGCAACCGCUGCCGCAUUUGGGUCAGUCAGCCUACCCUCUCUCUUGUUUAGCCCACCCACCUCGUGCUCAAGUCUCCCAACAAAAGACCACCACCUCCCCACUCCUGCUCCCUUCCGCGACUCAAGUCUCCAACCAAAUUCCCUUCCGAUUCCUCCACUCCUCUCGCCCCCCGAGGCACACACUCCCCCAAACCCUAGCUCCCCCCUCCCCCGUCGUCGCCCCCCCGCGCCGGACCGAACCCGCGCCGAGCUCGGGCGCCGAAUUCGCGCCGCGGGAUGGGCUCCGACUCCAAGGAGCUGCUCGGGAUCGAGCCCCUCGAGCUCCGCUUCCCCUUCGAGUUCAUGAAGCAGAUCUCGUGCUCCAUGGAGCUCACCAACAAGACGGACGACUACCUCGCCUUCAAGGUCAAGACGACGAGUCCCAAGAAGUACUGCGUCCGGCCCAACAGCGGCAUUGUGCCGCCGCGGUCCACCAGCAGCGUCGUCGUGACAAUGCAGGCGCUGAAGCAGGCGCCGCCCGACAUGCAGUGCAAGGACAAGUUUCUCGUGCAGAGCGCUGUGGUGACGGAGGGAACUGCAGUCAAGGAUAUCACUGGAGAGAUGUUUAAAAAGGAAUCAGGUAAUGUGGUGGAUGAGGUGAGGCUCAAGGUUGUCUACGUGCAACCACCCCGACCACCAUCGCCUGUGCGGGAGGGAUCUGAAGAGGGUUCGUCGCCUCGGCCUUCAUGGUCAGAUGGGGCAAACAUAAAUUAUCAAGAUAUGCAGGCAACAAGGGAAUCUGAUGAGCCUCCAUUGUCCUCAGCGCACAAGGAACCAUCUGAGAUAACCACUGAGACGUCCCCGUUGAUUUCAAGAUUAACUGAAGAGAGAAACUCUGCUAUUCAGCAGAACAACAAGCUUCGUGAGGAACUGGACCUUGUGAGAAGGGAGAUCAGCAAGCAGAAUGGCAAUGGUGGUUUCCCGUUGGUGUUUGUGGUUGCCGUUGCUCUGCUGGGAAUUCUGCUGGGCUAUCUCAUGAAAAGAUAGAGGAUCCCUGUGCCUGCGUCUUGUUAGGUGCUGGGAAUUCUGCUGGGCUAUCUCAUGAAAAGAUAGAGGAUCCCUGUGCCUGCGUCUUGUUAGGCUCCUGUCCUCAUCAAAAUGGAGCAGUGUUGUCAUCUCCAUUCUGAUGCGCUCAUUUACAUGUGCGGCACUACUACUUAACAGCACAAUAUCUUAGGGUAUGAUGUCGCCUGUAGUCGCAAGCGUCAGACUGGGUUGACCAUCAUACCCGGUCGAGUAGUCGUCACGAUUAACCUUAUGGUUGUUUGUCAUAUAUGGCUACUGUUAGGUUGGGCACUAGUAUAACUUGGUAUAAUUGUUAAAAAUGACUUUCGCCUAUCUAGUGUUGAUUGCCUCGUGGUAUAUUUGAAGUAAACUAACGACUUGGAGCGGAAAUUUCUCAAGUUUGGCCCAAAUUCAUGCAGUGGAUAGUGUAAAUGUAUUCCUCUUUGGAUGUUUUACUCGGCAAGCGAGCAGAGCAGUGCUCGGUU
Molecule: ribosomal RNA, 1636 nt
Filed under: Triticum aestivum (bread wheat)
Lineage: Eukaryota; Viridiplantae; Streptophyta; Magnoliopsida; Poales; Poaceae
Description: partial small subunit ribosomal RNA
Source: RNAcentral